This 497-nucleotide ribosomal RNA is filed under the name uncultured bacterium. RNAcentral's name for it is "partial 16S ribosomal RNA". It matches the Rfam family "Bacterial small subunit ribosomal RNA", at positions 28 to 507 of the family's 1533-position model. The record is from RNAcentral.
GAUGAACGCUGGCGGCGUGCCUAAUACAUGCAAGUCGAGCGAACAGACGAGGAGCUUGCUCCUCUGACGUUAGCGGCGGACGGGUGAGUAACACGUGGAUAACCUACCUAUAAGACUGGGAUAACUUCGGGAAACCGGAGCUAAUACCGGAUAAUAUAUUGAACCGCAUGGUUCAAUAGUGAAAGACGGUUUUGCUGUCACUUAUAGAUGGAUCCGCGCCGCAUUGGCUAGUUGGUAAGGUAACGGCUUACCAAGGCAACGAUGCGUAGCCGACCUGAGAGGGUGACCGGCCACACUGGAACUGAGACACGGUCCAGACUCCUACGGGAGGCAGCAGUAGGGAAUCUUCCGCAAUGGGCGAAAGCCUGACGGAGCAACGCCGCGUGAGUGAUGAAGGUCUUCGGAUCGUAAAACUCUGUUAUUAGGGAAGAACAAAUGUGUAAGUAACUAUGCACGUCUUGACGGUACCUAAUCAGAAAGCCACGGCUAACUACGUG